GAUGAAGAACGCAGCGAAAUGCGAUAAGUAGUGUGAAUUGCAGAAUUCAGUGAAUCAUCGAAUCUUUGAACGCACAUUGCGCCCUUUGGUAUUCCAAAGGGCAUGCCUGUUCGAGCGUCAUUUGUACCCUCAAGCUUUGCUUGGUGUUGGGCGUCUUGUCUCUAGCUUUGCUGGAGACUCGCCUUAAAGUAAUUGGCAGCCGGCCUACUGGUUUCGGAGCGCAGCACAAGUCGCACUCUCUAUCAGCAAAGGUCUAGCAUCCAUUAAGCCUUUUUUUCAACUUUUGACCUCGGAUCAGGUAGGGAUACCCGCUGAACUUAAGCAUAUCAGCGGAGGA
RNAcentral lists this unclassified non-coding RNA (337 nucleotides) under soil metagenome. Its description in RNAcentral is "partial contains 5.8S ribosomal RNA, internal transcribed spacer 2, and large subunit ribosomal RNA". The stretch from base 1 to 120 matches the Rfam family "5.8S ribosomal RNA", at positions 35 to 154 of the family's 154-position model. The record is from RNAcentral.